Molecule: ribosomal RNA, 253 nt
Filed under: uncultured bacterium
Lineage: Bacteria
Description: partial 16S ribosomal RNA
Rfam family: Bacterial small subunit ribosomal RNA
Source: RNAcentral
UACGUAGGGUGCGAGCGUUGUCCGGAAUUAUUGGGCGUAAAGGGCUCGUAGGCGGUCUGUCACGUCGGGAGUGAAAACUCGGGGCUUAACUCCGAGCCUGCUUCUGAUACGGGCAGACUAGAGGUAUGCAGGGGAGAAUGGAAUUCCUGGUGUAGCGGUGAAAUGCGCAGAUAUCAGGAGGAACACCAGUGGCGAAGGCGGUUCUCUGGGCAUGACCUGACGCUGAGGAGCGAAAGUGUGGGGAGCGAACAGG